ACGAACGCUGGCGGCGUGCUUAACACAUGCAAGUCGAACGGAAAGGCCCUGCCUUUGUGGGGUGCUCGAGUGGCGAACGGGUGAGUAACACGUGAGUAACCUGCCCUUGACUUUGGGAUAACUUCAGGAAACUGGGGCUAAUACCGGAUAGGAGCUCCUGCUGCAUGGUGGGGGUUGGAAAGUUUCGGCGGUUGGGGAUGGACUCGCGGCUUAUCAGCUUGUUGGUGGGGUAGUGGCUUACCAAGGCUUUGACGGGUAGCCGGCCUGAGAGGGUGACCGGCCACAUUGGGACUGAGAUACGGCCCAGACUCCUACGGGAGGCAGCAGUGGGGAAUAUUGCACAAUGGGCGGAAGCCUGAUGCAGCAACGCCGCGUGCGGGAUGACGGCCUUCGGGUUGUAAACCGCUUUCGCCUGUGACGAAGCGUGAGUGACGGUAAUGGGUAAAGAAGUACCGGCUAACUACGUG
RNAcentral lists this ribosomal RNA (467 nucleotides) under uncultured bacterium. Its description in RNAcentral is "partial 16S ribosomal RNA". It matches the Rfam family "Bacterial small subunit ribosomal RNA", at positions 29 to 507 of the family's 1533-position model. The record is from RNAcentral.